Molecule: ribosomal RNA, 494 nt
Filed under: uncultured bacterium
Lineage: Bacteria
Description: SSU rRNA
Rfam family: Bacterial small subunit ribosomal RNA
Source: RNAcentral
AGAUUGAACGCUGGCGGCGUGCUUAACACAUGCAAGUCGAGCGGUAACGCGGGAGCAAUCCUGGCGACGAGCGGCGAACGGGUGAGUAAUGCUUGGGAAUCUGCCCAUUAGUGGGGAACAACCAGCCGAAAGGUUGGCUAAUACCGCAUACGCCCUACGGGGGAAAGCGGGGGAUCGAAAGACCUCGCGCUAAUGGAUGAGCCCAAGUCGGAUUAGCUUGUUGGUAGGGUAACGGCCUACCAAGGCGACAAUCCGUAGCUGGUCUGAGAGGACGACCAGCCACACUGGGACUGAGACACGGCCCAGACUCCUACGGGAGGCAGCAGUGGGGGAAUAUUGGACAAUGGGGGCAACCCUGAUCCAGCGACGCCGCGUGUGUGAAGAAGGCCUGCGGGUUGUAAAGCACUUUUAGUGGGAUGAAAAGCUCAGGUUAACACCUCUGGGUCUUGACCUAACCACAGAAAAGCACCGGCUAACUCUGUGCCAGCAGCCGC